This is a long non-coding RNA of Carassius auratus (goldfish), 554 nucleotides long. RefSeq lists it as uncharacterized. Lineage: Eukaryota; Metazoa; Chordata; Actinopteri; Cypriniformes; Cyprinidae. The record is from RefSeq and is a predicted model, not a curated record. The transcript has 2 exons.
UCAGUGGGUGUACUGUAACUAAUCAAUGUGUGUAAUAACUAAUGCAGUUUAAUAACUGCUUUUGUUCAUUUCAGGUGCAGAAACUUGAGGCUGUUGGAUACAAGCCAAUUUUAUUUAUUGGGAAACAGGACAAAAGGGCUUCAAAUAAGUGGGUGGCAGAUAUUAUCACGCAUCUGCACCCCACUCCUGUCACCAAAGUGUUUUUGGAGAAGAUGUGGAGGGCUUAUGAGUUUAUCUUAACAAAAGCAGCCGGAGAGCGUCGCCGCGGAGCAGCUGGAGAGCCUCACCAAGCAGUCUGAAACUGUAUUUGUUCUCAAUCUUGUUCCUGUGUCUUGCUCGCUCACUCCAACCUCUCUCUGUCCUCCUUCCUCUGCUACUUCUACAACUGUUCUUCCCUCACUUUCUUCCCCUCUUCCACCUCCACUGUGGCAGAGGAAAAGAAGGUUAAACACCUUUACCACGUCAAACUCUACCACCCCUGUCUCUCCUCCAUAUCCAUCUGCCUCUUCCAUUUCCAAGCCUUUGAGUCAGGAGGUGCCACUGGUAAAGAACAG